CUUGUUUUCUGUGGGCUUAAAUUCUAACAAGAGGAAAACACAUAUUUUAGAGAAAAAGAAAUAGAUUGAAAAAUAGAUUAGGGAGGAAUAAGAAGAUUGCAUAAAAAGAGUGCUCAUUUGAGAUUAUGUAAAAUAAAUUUAUAGUGGUCCCAAUCAAUUACAGAUUUGUUUCUUUCUUUAGUUAUGUUUAUCAGCUCAUACAUUGGAGUGAAGCUGAGGGUUUUCUCACAAGUUGGAGUUUGACAAGGACAGUUAGUGAUUUGAGAAAGGGAUGACAGAGUUGAAAUAGAAAGGUGAAAAAUAACUUGGGAAAGUAUUUAUGGAAAAUUUCAGGUCAUAGUAAAGAUGAAUAAAUUUAGAAUUAGGAAGAGAUAGAAAGGCAGAAAUAAGAAGUUAUUAUUAUAUAAAGGCAAUUUCAGAGUUCAUGAACAAGGAAAUAUGGUUUUUUUUAUUUCAAGGUGAAUAGUCUGUUCAUAUGUGUAGCUGAGGUAGGAUGGAGAAAUGGAUUAUGGAAGUUGAGUCAUUGAGAAACUGAAGAAUCAGGUUAUUUGUUUUUUUUUUUUCCUAAUAUUUUAUUUUAUUUAUUUAAUAAUAACUUUAUAUUGACAGAAUCCAUGCCAGGGUAAUUUUUUUUACAACAUUAUCUAUUCCUUGCACUCGUUUCUGUUCUGAUUUUUCCCCUCCUCCACUCCCUCCCCUAGAUGGCAAGCAGUCCUAUAUAUAUUAGAUAUGUUGCAGUAUAUCCUAGAUACAAUAUAUGUUUGCAGAACCGAACAGUUCUCUUGUUGCACAGGGAGAAUUGGAUUCAGAAGGUAAAAAUAACCCGGGAAGAAAAACAAAAAUACAAAUAGUUCACAUUCGUUUCCCAGUGUUCUUUCUUUGGGUGUAGCUGCUUCUGUCUCUCAUUUAUCAAUUGAAACUCAGUUAGGUCUCUUUGUCAAAGAAAUCCACUUCCAUCAAAAUAUGUCCUCAUACAAUAUCGUUGUCGAAGUGUAUAAUGAUCUCCUAGUUCUGCUCAUUUCACUUAGCAUCAGUUCAUGUAAGUCUCGCCAGUCCUCUCUGUAUUCAUCCUGCUGGUCAU
Molecule: long non-coding RNA, 1081 nt
Organism: Antechinus flavipes (yellow-footed antechinus)
Lineage: Eukaryota; Metazoa; Chordata; Mammalia; Dasyuromorphia; Dasyuridae
Exons: 2
Source: RefSeq, a predicted model, not a curated record